This is a long non-coding RNA of Mytilus californianus (California mussel), 163 nucleotides long. RefSeq lists it as uncharacterized. Lineage: Eukaryota; Metazoa; Mollusca; Bivalvia; Mytilida; Mytilidae. The transcript is spliced from 2 exons. The record is from RefSeq and is a predicted model, not a curated record.
CAAGUCGGCAAACUAUAAUUCCUUUACACAAAAUCGUAGAAGGGAAACUUACAGUACAAUAUAAGCUGCUCUGAAUAUUGCAAUCGAAUUCACAUUAGUUUGAGCAUCAUUCCCAGCCAGAUUAUGAAGCCGUCAUAUACAUGAUAUAGGAAAUAUAUAUAGA